This 253-nucleotide ribosomal RNA is filed under the name uncultured bacterium. RNAcentral describes it as "partial 16S ribosomal RNA". It matches the Rfam family "Bacterial small subunit ribosomal RNA", at positions 524 to 776 of the family's 1533-position model. The record is from RNAcentral.
UACAGAGGGUGCAAGCGUUAAUCGGAAUUACUGGGCGUAAAGCGUGCGUAGACGGUUAUGUAAGUCAGGUGUGAAAGCCCCGGGCUCAACCUGGGAAUGGCAUUUGAGACUGCAUAGCUAGGGUGCGGAAGAGGGAAGCGGAAUUUCCGGUGUAGCGGUGAAAUGCGCAGAUAUCAGGAGGAACACCGGUGGCGAAGGCGGGUCUCUGGGCAGUAACUGACGCUGAGGAGCGAAAGCGUGGGGAGCGAACAGG